RNAcentral lists this long non-coding RNA (631 nucleotides) under Hordeum vulgare. Its description in RNAcentral is "long non-coding RNA (HVUL_LNC014001)". The record is from RNAcentral. Lineage: Eukaryota; Viridiplantae; Streptophyta; Magnoliopsida; Poales; Poaceae.
CUAUAUUGUAAUGGACUGAGCCUUUCCCUUUGAGAUUUCGUUAUGUUGUAUUUAAUACUUUGGAUUUGAGAACCCUUGAUUUAUAUCUUGCAUGCGGAUACCCGUGGUGACAACGGGGUAUUCUAUUGAGUCAGUUGAUAUAUGUGUUGGAAAGCAACUUGCGGAUUCCCGCGGUGACAUUGGGGCCAAUAUAUGCACAUGGGUUAGUACACGUUUUCAUGCUACUUUCUCUGAUAUAAACUUUAGGGUACUCUUUGAGGUUCUUUGUGUUGGAUUAAAUAUGACGAAUCUGAAAUUGUUUGAGGCAUGUUGAAUAAUCAACUCAUGGAUACUUGUGGUGACAUUGGAGUGUCGAGGUGACAUUAGAGUUGGUUGAUGUGUAUCAUAGGUGUUAUUUCAGUACAAACUUUAGGGCUGAGGCUGUUUGUGACACUUAUAGGGAUGACUCAAUAGAUUGAUCGAAAAUAAUAACUUUGAGGUGGUUUUACUACCUACAACAAUUUCAUCUUAUGUUCUUCUCUAGAUAAGAACUUUGGAGUGAUUCUUCAUUGCACGUUGAAGGAUGGUUACAUGAUUCAUUUAUGCUAGCACCAUUGAGAGACUGCACUAGUGAAAGUAUGAACCCUAGGCC